RNAcentral lists this ribosomal RNA (778 nucleotides) under Enterococcus gilvus. RNAcentral describes it as "bacterial SSU rRNA". It matches the Rfam family "Bacterial small subunit ribosomal RNA", at positions 28 to 778 of the family's 1533-position model. Lineage: Bacteria; Bacillati; Bacillota; Bacilli; Lactobacillales; Enterococcaceae. The record is from RNAcentral.
GACGAACGCUGGCGGCGUGCCUAAUACAUGCAAGUCGAACGCUUUUUCCUUCACCGGAGCUUGCUCCACCGAAAGAAAAGGAGUGGCGAACGGGUGAGUAACACGUGGGUAACCUGCCCAUCAGAAGGGGAUAACACUUGGAAACAGGUGCUAAUACCGUAUAACAAUAGAAACCGCAUGGUUUCUAUUUGAAAGGCGCUUUUGCGUCACUGAUGGAUGGACCCGCGGUGCAUUAGCUAGUUGGUGAGGUAACGGCUCACCAAGGCAACGAUGCAUAGCCGACCUGAGAGGGUGAUCGGCCACAUUGGGACUGAGACACGGCCCAAACUCCUACGGGAGGCAGCAGUAGGGAAUCUUCGGCAAUGGACGRAAGUCUGACCGAGCAACGCCGCGUGAGUGAAGAAGGUUUUCGGAUCGUAAAACUCUGUUGUUAGAGAAGAACAAGGAUGAGAGUAAAAUGUUCAUCCCUUGACGGUAUCUAACCAGAAAGCCACGGCUAACUACGUGCCAGCAGCCGCGGUAAUACGUAGGUGGCAAGCGUUGUCCGGAUUUAUUGGGCGUAAAGCGAGCGCAGGCGGUUUCUUAAGUCUGAUGUGAAAGCCCCCGGCUCAACCGGGGAGGGUCAUUGGAAACUGGGAAACUUGAGUGCAGAAGAGGAGAGUGGAAUUCCAUGUGUAGCGGUGAAAUGCGUAGAUAUAUGGAGGAACACCAGUGGCGAAGGCGGCUCUCUGGUCUGUAACUGACGCUGAGGCUCGAAAGCGUGGGGAGCAAACAGGAU